UACGGGGGGGGCAAGCGUUGUUCGGAAUUACUGGGCGUAAAGGGCUCGUAGGCGGCCAACUAAGUCGGAUGUGAAAUCCCCGAGCUUAACUUGGGAAUUGCGCUCGAAACUACGUGGCUCGAGUGUGGCAGAGGAAGGUGGAAUUCCACGUGUAGCGGUGAAAUGCGUAGAGAUGUGGAGGAACACCGAUGGCGAAGGCAGCCUUCUGGGCCAACACUGACGCUCAUGCACGAAAGCGUGGGGAGCAAACAGG
Molecule: ribosomal RNA, 253 nt
Filed under: uncultured bacterium
Lineage: Bacteria
Description: partial 16S ribosomal RNA
Rfam family: Bacterial small subunit ribosomal RNA
Source: RNAcentral